Long non-coding RNA from Motacilla alba alba, 776 nucleotides. RefSeq lists it as uncharacterized. Lineage: Eukaryota; Metazoa; Chordata; Aves; Passeriformes; Motacillidae. The record is from RefSeq and is a predicted model, not a curated record. The transcript has 3 exons.
CAUCCCGGGUUUUCUGUGGAUAUCUGCAGAUAUUUCUCUUUACAGAAACAUCCCGGGAUUUCUGUGGAUAACUCCUGUCCAGAAACCUCCCGGGUUUUCAGGCAUCCCCGUCUGCAGCCCGAGCGGCUCUCCCGUGGGCUCCGAGUGAAAUCCGGGCUGUCGCUGCCACCCCGCUCCAGGAGAGGGCCGCUGAAUUUCGCGGUGUUGUUUGCGGUGAGAAAGGUCAACUUUCGGCAAAUGUUACAGAGAGCAAACUCAGGCAGGAGAUCGCUCUGAUCUCAGCUGGGGCCAAAAUCUGACCAAAAAUGUACCUGGAGAGGAGCAAAACCCGGUGACAACAGAUUGUCCCCUGGCCCUGCUGCUGAUUGGCAGGAGGAGCACGGGGACAGUUCGGGAGGGCCCUGGACCGAAUGGAAAGGGCCACCACUGGGACAUUUUUCAUCCAUCUGCUGCAAGGGGCUCUGCCUCUCCCUGCGAGGCUGCUCGGGGCGAGGCGAGGGCCUCGACACGUUUGAACAAUAAACAAAAGCCAGAGGGGCAGGAGCUCUGCAGUUGCCGCGCGCGAUCCGAUAAUUUCUGGCUUAUUAUUUUUAAUUAUUGCUCGACGGACUAUUUGGACAAGGUGGACAAGCUGAUUAAUCACAGCCGGGUGGAAGCUGCCCCUCAAAGCUGCUGCUGCUGCUGCUGCUUUCCCGUCGGGGUGGAAGUUUUCCUUCCCCUUUUUUUCCCUGGAAUUAACGUUGUUUUCUCCGAAGCGGCCGGCCCGGGGAGCAGGG